AACGAACGCUGGCGGCACGUUUUAAGCAUGCAAGUCGAAUAGCAGCAGGGGCAACUCUGUGAGAAUGGCGAACGGGUGAGUAACACGUAGGUGAUCUGCCUUGAGGAUGGGGAUAGCCUGUGGAAACACAGGGUAAUACCGAAUAAGCUGACGGGACUUUGGUUUUGUUAGUAAAGGUGCUACGGCACCGCCUUGAGAGGAGCCUGCGGCUGAUUAGCUAGUUGGUGGGGUAAAGGCCUACCAAGGCGACGAUCAGUAGCCGGCCUGAGAGGGUGUACGCCACACUGGGACUGAGACACGGCCCAGACUCCUACGGGAGGCAGCAGCUAAGAAUCUUCCGCAAUGGGCGAAAGCCUGACGGAGCGAUGCCGCGUGAUCGAUGAAGGUCGAGAGAUUGUAAAGAUCUUUUCUACAUGAGGAAUAAGUCUGGGAGGGAAUGCCUGGAUGAUGACGUUAGUGUAGGAAUAAGCCCCGGCUAACUACGUGCCAGCCGCCGCAGUAA
RNAcentral lists this ribosomal RNA (502 nucleotides) under uncultured bacterium. RNAcentral describes it as "partial 16S ribosomal RNA". It matches the Rfam family "Bacterial small subunit ribosomal RNA", at positions 29 to 523 of the family's 1533-position model. The record is from RNAcentral.